Pan troglodytes (chimpanzee) is the source of this 630-nucleotide long non-coding RNA. RefSeq lists it as uncharacterized. The record is from RefSeq and is a predicted model, not a curated record. NCBI's taxonomy places the organism in Eukaryota, Metazoa, Chordata, Mammalia, Primates, Hominidae. The transcript has 2 exons.
AAUCCCAGCACUUUGGGAGGCCAAGGCGGGCAGACCACUUGAGGUCAGGAGUUCGAGACCAGCCUGGCCAACAUGGCAAAACCUCGUCUUUACUAAAAAUACAAAAAUUAGCUGGGCGUGGUGGUACACACCUAUAAUCCCAGCUACUCGGGAGGCUGAGGCACAAGAAUCACUUGAACCCAGGAGGUGGAGGUUGCAGUGAGCCAAGACUGUGCCACUGCACUCCAGCCUCAGUGACAGAGUGAGACUCUGUCUCAAAAAAAAUUAUUAUUUUUCUACAAAUAUCAUAUAUUUUUCUCCAAUCUAGUGGACUUAGCGUCUCAUUAAGUGGGUGUGAGGAGAAUACACAGCAGCCAUAGCCUGGCUCUGGGUGAAGUGACUCAAAUUGCUCAACUGAAGUCCCGGCAAACCCUCCAGUACACCUACUUUCUCCUGCCUCUGCCACCCCUGAGACAGCAAGACCAACCCCCUCUUCCUCCUUCCCAGUCUACUCAACAUGAAGACGACAGAGAGGAAGACCUUUAUGAGGAUUCACUUCCACUUAAGGAAUAAUGAAUAUGUUUUAUCUUCCCUAAAAAAAAAAAUAAAAGAUGGGGAGGAUGGCUUGAGCCUUUUGUGUAUUUCUCAAAA